UGCCAACAGUUUGCAUUUUUGGCGAUGGGCAGACACACGUCGAAAGUCCAGGCUCUCCUCGGCCCGCGAAUACCACUGCAAUGCCCGCUCACAGCGCCGAUGAAGAAGUUCAACAGACUGAGCCCUCAUGUUCCAAUCCAGCGGGUCGACAACACAAGCCUUCUAGG
Rhipicephalus microplus (southern cattle tick) is the source of this 167-nucleotide long non-coding RNA. NCBI's taxonomy places the organism in Eukaryota, Metazoa, Arthropoda, Arachnida, Ixodida, Ixodidae. The record is from RefSeq and is a predicted model, not a curated record.